CGAGACCCUGGGUCUCGACCCCGUCCUGUGCAACUGGGUCCUGGACUUUGACAUGCCGCCCCCAGGUGGUGAGGGUAGGAAACAACAUCUCCACCCUGCUGAUCCUCAAUACUCAGCCCUCUCCUGUACUCCCUGUUCACCCAUGACUGCGUGGCCAUGCACACCUCCAACUCAAUCAUCAAGUUUGUAGACGACACUACAGUGGUAGGCUUGGUUACCAACAACGAUGAGACGGCCUACAGGGAGGAGGUGAAGGCCCUCGGAGUGUGGUGUCAGGAAAAUAACCUCACACUCAAUGACAACAAAACAAAGGAGAUGAUCGUGGACUUCAGGAAACAGCAGAGGGAGCACCCCCCUGGCCAUAUCGACGGGACAGUAGUGGAGAAGGUGGAAAGUUUUAAGUUCCUCGGCGUACACAUCACGGACAAACUGAAAUGGUUCACCCACACAGACAGCGUGGUGAAGAAGGCACAACAGUGCCUCGUCAACCUCAGGAGGCUGAAGAAAUUUGGCUUGUCACCAAUUUGAUGAGAUGUGUGCAAUAGUAUAUCCAACCCAUACUGCCUUGUAUCUACAGGCGUUGUACUGUCUUUACACUUAGUACCAGUGGUCUUGGUUUGCUGAUCCCUACUAGGAGAGGGAGGUGCGAAACCAGUGCAGGCAACCAUUCCUUCUGCCUGAGUGUUAAAUCUGUGACACUCUGGCCUUGCAGCUUAUGUCUGAACUGGGCUGCAGUCCUCCUGAUUUGCUGAAUAUCCCUCUGGUGUUGGAGAAGCAGCUUCCUGUGCCUCCUACAUCGUGACGCACUCAAUCACCAUGAUGAAGGCUUUACCAGAUAUGUUCCCAUCACCUGUGGCUCCACCAAAGAAGUUAGGACAUUGUCACAACUCCCACCGAAGGUGGCAACCCUGCCUGUUCGGGUGGCGCUCGGCGGUCGUCGUCGCUGGUCUACUAGCUGCCACCGAUCCCAUUUUCCUUUUCUGUUUGUUUGGUCUUAUUGGUUGCAGUUGUCUCUUUUAUUUUGUUUUUUGAUUCAGUCUAUUUAAGCCUGUUAGGCCUGCCUGUUUUUGUGCGGGCUUGUUUUUCUGUUUGUCAGGUUGUGCGUGGUGUGUUCCUGUCUGUUUGUGCCCUGUGUUGCGUUGGACCAUUUUGUGUCGAUUUUCACCUGUUGUUUUGGGCGUUCGCUUUGGAAACCUAAUAAAGUCGGUUUCCCCAGUAUCAUCUGCUCUCUGCAUUUGACUCCGUACCCACCACUCCAGGCCUGGUGACAGACAUGCAAGGGAGGCUAUGCUUCACAUUCUUGAAUCUGCAGAAGACCCCAACACCUUUCUUCAGGCGAGACCACUCUUCAGCCCUGUCGUGAUUGUCUGCGAAACAAACUGCGUACUGGCCAUUGAAACCAUGCCUGUGGUGACCUUCCCAAAAGAGGACAUCUAUGCCAGAGUGACGUAUCUCAUGGCAUGUUAUUACGCCUUUCACCUCACAUAUCCCAAGUGUAUGGCGACACUCCUCUCAAUGCAGCAGACAUAAGUCCUCUCGGACGCCAUUCACGACCGGGACAAGACUUCUUCAUAUAAAAAGACUAUGGCCAAGUGGAAAAAGUUCAUUACUGACUACGGUUGCAACAUUUCUUCAUUUCCGGUCCCGAUAACAGAACUGUGUGUAUUGGCCCACACGAGAACCGAUCCGAUAACCUUUAAUAAAUAGGCAGGGCAUUUGUUGUUUAUUAUAAGAAGGUUUAAAGCACUGUUAUGUUUGUUAUCUUCCCAUUGGUCUUACAUUUUUACCUUGACCACCAAUAGCCUUUGUUGUUGUUUUUGCACACUUUGUUCUGCCCAUAUCAGCCUCUUGAGUCCUCAAUAAAGAAGAGAAAAGAAAUUAGAUGA
Oncorhynchus tshawytscha (Chinook salmon) is the source of this 1886-nucleotide long non-coding RNA. NCBI's taxonomy places the organism in Eukaryota, Metazoa, Chordata, Actinopteri, Salmoniformes, Salmonidae. The record is from Ensembl.